This 582-nucleotide ribosomal RNA is filed under the name Candidatus Mycoplasma haematominutum. RNAcentral's name for it is "bacterial SSU rRNA". It matches the Rfam family "Bacterial small subunit ribosomal RNA", at positions 359 to 941 of the family's 1533-position model. The record is from RNAcentral. Lineage: Bacteria; Bacillati; Mycoplasmatota; Mollicutes; Mycoplasmatales; Mycoplasmataceae.
GUAUAUCGCGACGUACGCCUGCCAGAUGGAGCAAACCAUGCGAACGAGGAAGGACUUCUGAGGGGGUGUUCUUUUAUUUAGGAAAAAAAGCUUGAUAGGAAAGAAUAAGCCUUGAUUGUACUAAAUGAAUAAGUGACAGCUAACUAUGUGCCAGCAGCUGCGGUAAAACAUAGGUCACGAGCAUUAUCCGGAUUUAUUGGGCGUAAAGGAAGCGUAGGCGGACAAAUUGAUCUAUUGUUAAAGGCACUUGCUCAACGAGUUGUUUGUGAUAGAUAUCGUUUGUCUAGAAUUAGUUAGGAGAUACUGGAAUUCAAUGUGUAGCGGUGGUAUGCGUAGAUAUAUUGAGGAACACCAGAGGCUAAGGCGAGUAUCUAGGACAUAAUUGACGCUGAGGCUUGAAAGCGUGGGUUUUCAAAUGUUUUUUAGAUACCCCAGUAGUCCACGCCGUAAACGAUGGGUAUUAGGUAUUUGGUCUAGGACUGAGUGCUGUAGCUAACGCGUUAAAUACCCCGCCUGGGUAGUAUAUAUGCAAAUAUGAAACUCAAAGAAAUUGACGGGGACCUGAACAAGUGGUGGAGCAAG